This 560-nucleotide ribosomal RNA is filed under the name uncultured Alphaproteobacteria bacterium. RNAcentral's name for it is "bacterial SSU rRNA". It matches the Rfam family "Bacterial small subunit ribosomal RNA", at positions 338 to 916 of the family's 1533-position model. The record is from RNAcentral. Lineage: Bacteria; Pseudomonadati; Pseudomonadota; Alphaproteobacteria.
CCUACGGGAGGCAGCAGUGGGGAAUCUUAGACAAUGGGCGAAAGCCUGAUCUAGCCAUGCCGCGUGAGUGAUGAAGGUCUUAGGAUCGUAAAGCUCUUUCGCUAGGGAUGAUAAUGACAGUACCUAGUAAAGAAGCCCCGGCUAACUCCGUGCCAGCAGCCGCGGUAAUACGGAGGGGGCUAGCGUUGUUCGGAAUUACUGGGCGUAAAGCGUACGUAGGCGGAUCAGAAAGUAUGGGGUGAAAUCCCAGGGCUUAACCCUGGAACUGCCUCAUAAACUCCUGGUCUUGAGUUCGAGAGAGGUGAGUGGAAUUCCAAGUGUAGAGGUGAAAUUCGUAGAUAUUUGGAGGAACACCAGUGGCGAAGGCGGCUCACUGGCUCGAUACUGACGCUGAGGUACGAAAGUGUGGGGAGCAAACAGGAUUAGAUACCCUGGUAGUCCACACCGUAAACGAUGAAUGCCAGUCGUCGGGCAGUAUACUGUUCGGUGACACACCUAACGGAUUAAGCAUUCCGCCUGGGGAGUACGGUCGCAAGAUUAAAACUCAAAGGAAUUGACGG